UUGAUCUCUCCUCUUUUAAUA
RNAcentral lists this non-coding RNA (21 nucleotides) under Caenorhabditis elegans. The record is from RNAcentral. Lineage: Eukaryota; Metazoa; Nematoda; Chromadorea; Rhabditida; Rhabditidae.